UGUAGAAUCUUGCCGGUAUCAAUUCUAAUUGAACAGUUGUGGGUCGAAGAUGAGUCUUGAUUCAAAUCGUAAGAUUAAAUAGCUUUUAGUACUGGUUUGUUUUUCCAAUUAGAAGUCAUGUGAAAGUAUUUAAGAAUGUAAGCUAUCAUAGAUUUGCCGGAGUUCGUGAUUGAACAUAUCUAGACUUCAAGAGUGUUUCUGGAUUUUUUCGUGUUUCGUCGUCUGGUGCUUCGUUGUUGCUGCAAGGAUUCGAAUCGUGGUCUUUCCAGGGUUUGCCGGCGUUGCUUUGUCGUGUACAGUUCGUGACGCUGUUUCAAACUGGGUUGGGGCAGUCUGUGGUUUUGAGGUGGAUUCCGUACCUUAGGUGUUGACUUGGUGGGUUUGCCGUUCGUCGUGUUGGAAAUGUGGCAUUCGAGUGGCGCUGUGUCGCUGUUCUAGCCUUGGAUCUGCUGUGGCGAUCAUCUGCAGACGUUUCCUUAUGGGUCUGGUGUCACGUUCACCGUGGGGUCGGAACGGCGUGUGGUGUUCUUAUCGAACUGUAUGCUUCCAGACUUCAGGUGUUCUGCUGGUGGGGUUGUCGAUUCAGUUUUUCGGCGUGUACGGAGUGCGGCAAUUACUUCAUGCCAUGCAGUUUCCCUUGCUGUUGUGGUGUAAUUCGCUUUUCUUUUCGCAUUUUGCUAUUCGGAUGAUUAACUCUUAUACCGCCCCAGACUGAAGGGUUGUGUUGAGUGGUAACACGCUGACCGUAGUUGCGUUCAUACGAAGUUUUUCCACUGUGUAUCGAAAUUAAUGGUGGUGUGUUUAAUUUUUCUUCAGGGUUUGCUGUGGCAAAUUGCUGUCGGCAUAUCGUCAUGGCGCCAUUAUGGGUAAGUCGGUUGUUGCUUGUCUAUAAAGAACAUUCAUCGCGAUCGCCACACGUCCAUCCCAUCAGUGGGAUGAGUUGUGCCAAGAUAACGAACGGGGAUAAGAAAUAGCUGCGUAGGAAGCAAUCGAGAUUGUAUCAUGUCUAUGGGUUGUGCCGUUUACGUUGGCGACAGUUUGACAUCGCUCAUAUUCCGAUAUUCUUCGUCUUCUAAUAUUUAUUUCUUGAUAGGACCGAAUUGGUUGCAGAUCCAGCUAUGGAGCCGUUGAUUGUGCUCUAGAUGGCCUUUUCCAUUCCCCCGGUUCUGUUUGACUAGUUGCCAGCAACUAAUCGUGUUACCGCUCCCUUCUAGUGAGCACUUUUGUUCUUUAUUUUAAAACAAUGAAUUCUAUGGUCACGCUAGUAUAAUCGACGGGAUUAAGUAUCUCAUUUAGCGUUUCUUGCUCUUUAAGCUGGGGUUAUGAUUUGUUCUUUACCGGAAUGAUGUGUUGAUUAUUGGUAAUUUGUUUCAUGCUGCAAAUGCCUUGUGUUCCAGAAUUGCGACGUGGGGCAGUCGACGGAUAUGUAAUCAGGAGUUCACUGGUGCGGUUGCUGUGGAGAUUGGUUACGUACAACAUUCUUGGUAUG
RNA transcript from Daphnia magna, 1489 nucleotides. RefSeq lists it as uncharacterized. NCBI's taxonomy places the organism in Eukaryota, Metazoa, Arthropoda, Branchiopoda, Diplostraca, Daphniidae. The transcript has 9 exons. The record is from RefSeq and is a predicted model, not a curated record.